GUUUUUUGUUUUGAGAUGGAGUCUCGCUCUUGUCACCCAGGCUGGAGUGCAAUGGUGCGAUCUCAGCUCACUGCAACGUCUGCCUCCCAGGUUCAAGCGAUUCUGGGGAGGGGAGGAGGAGGGAAGCAAGGAGAGAGGAACGCAGGGAGCAGAGCCUGACCUGGUCACAGGGGUCUGGGAAAGACAGAGGCUUUGUUAGAGCCGGCAGCUGAGGGCCGAGGCCGAGCAGGGGUUAGGCCAGCACAGGACGAAAAGGAAGAAAGUUCCAGGUGGAGUCUGGUGGAGAAAGACCGACCUGGAAGGCACCAGCAUGUGCACGUGGCAACUGAGGUCGAGGACGUGCCUGAGAGAGAGGAGGAAGGUGCCCUGCGGACCGGGUAGGGUGCGGAGGUCGGGAAUGGAGAACGGUCGUUGGGCAGGUCCGGGUACCCGUAGCCAGAACCACCCGGGUGUGCGCAGCUCGGCCAGGCCCCGCCUCCCGGCGUCCCCGCCCCCUGCUGGGCCUCUCUCCGCAGCCGCGAGACCCGCGCUUGGCGCAUAGGCCGGUUCUAAUUUACAAGAACACCGCGGCCUGAGGCCGGAGAGUCCCUUCAACCCGGGAGGCGGCGGCUGCAGGGAGCCGAGACGGCGCCAUUGCCCUCCAGCCUGGGCAAAAAGAGCGAAACUCCGUCUCAAAAAAAAAAAAACAUGGCCGAAACCAGGAAGCUGCGCGAUGGCGCCACGGCCCCUCUUCUCCCGGCCUGUGUCCGGAAGGUUUCCCUCCGAGGCGCCCCGGCUCCCGCAAGCGGAGGAGAGGGCGGGACGUGCCGGGGCCGGAGCUCAGAGGCCCUGGGGCCGCUCUGCUCUCCCGCCAUCGCAAGGGCGGCGCUGACCUGAGGCCUCCCCGCAAAGGUCCCCGAGGCGGCGGCGGCGGCGGGCUGUGAGAACCGCAGAAGAACGCUGGGCGCGCAGCGACCCGUCCACCCCCGCGAGGAGAGACUUCCACAGAGGCAGCGUUUCCACAGCCCAAAGCCACGUUUCUAGGGUGAUGCAGCCCCAGUAAGUUCCUGGCGGGGAAGCUCACGGCUGUCAAAAGAACUCUUCGCUCCAGCCGGCGCACGAAGGGGAGGAGGGCAGGAGGCUGCCGCCCGCACAGGUCAUCUGAUCACGUCGCCCGCCCUAGUCUGCUUUUGUGAAUCUCCACUUUGUUCAACCCCCACCCGCCGUCUCUCCCUCCCUGCGCCUUCCCUCUAACCUUAAAGACCCAGCUACCUCUACGCAAAUGGUAGCUACCUCUGCGCAGGUGGAAGUUGAGUUCGGUUCACGCGGGACCCUCUUCCCUGUGGCAAGCUGCUGAAGGAGACCUGCUGUUACUGCUUUAGCUGCUGUUCUGCUUAAUCUCAGACAGCUGGAAGGUAGUAUUCCGCCCUCGCCCAGCCACCCGAGUAAAUGAGAAUGAUGACUGACUGAGACCCUGAUGGUGGUGGCUUAGGCUUAAUCUCAGACAGCUGGAAGGUAGUAUUCCGCCCUCACCCAGCCACCCGAGUAAAUGAGAAUGAUGACUGACUGAGACCCUGAUGGUGGUGGCUUAGGCAAGAUGAACGUCUGAAAUGGAGGCCCAGGGCUGCCACGAUGGCUCUGUAGUCAUCAGGGAGGGAGCUCCUUUUAUCUUGUUACCUACUCCCCUCUUGUGCCCCUUUCUUCCCUUGAUCUAAGAAGGUUGCUCCGGAUCUCGCCAUCUGGCCUGCGUUCAAUCAGCAGAAGCUUCCUGGAGGAGCAGGAGGAGGCACUGUGCUCGCAUCACAUACCAGUGGCCAGAAGUUGGCUUCAGGGAAGCUCAGGAAAUAGGAUGCGAGAAGCCAUGAGACCUCCCCAAACUCUGCAGUAACAGAGUCAACAAGACAAUGGCUUAAAGAUGGAGAGACCAGUUGAUCGGUCACACAAGCUGUUCCACGAUAAUUCUUGUGUCAGAAGGGGAGGCUGACUACCAGGACCACUGGCCCCACUUCCAGCCCCUCCAUUCUGAGUACACUUCAGAGGGCUCUGGCAGGCACGUGCCCAGCUUCCUUUCAAGUCUCUGGCCAAUGCAAUGUGAGCAGAAGUGAAGGGGCAACUUUCAGGUGAUGACUUGGAAAAGAAAGCUUAGUCCUCUGCUUCUCCUGUCACCCGAAAGAGAAACAGAGGCUUGUCUUGUUGAAGCCAGUGUGUUUGGUGUCUUUUUGUAUAGUGGCUUAGACAGUGGCCUAACUAGAAGACCAAGGCUCAAAGGAACACAUUUUGAGCUUCUCCACAGUUUGAGAACCUCUACAUUACCUACACCAAGCCUUCCCCAGCACUCAAUUUAUGGAAGACCAUUUCUCUUCUCAUGACACAUGUCCUCAUGUUGCUUUGGCCUGUUUUAAAGCUUUCUCAACUCCAUCUCAAUAAAGAAAUCUGCAGCUUUGUUGGAUGAGAGGAUCUAAAAAGUUCGUUCUUCCAAUCGGUUGUAAAUAUAGACACUAAU
This 2482-nucleotide long non-coding RNA is filed under the name Homo sapiens (human). RNAcentral's name for it is "non-protein coding lnc-MGAT1-4:1". The record is from RNAcentral. Lineage: Eukaryota; Metazoa; Chordata; Mammalia; Primates; Hominidae.